UCUUGAUUUUUAACAAAAAGUUGGUAAACUAUAUAUUUAAAUUUUAACAGGUGGCCGAGGACUUUGAGCAUGGCUAGGGUACUUUGUGAGCUUCAGUUUGAGUUGCAGCAUUGUUCAUUCAGUAGCCCGGUUGCUGAAGUUAAGCAGGAGGAUUACAUUCCGAAGACACCAGCAGGAAAAGAUUUGAAGAGGAGGAGGAAAUUGUCGAAAGUUUCCACCUCAUUAACUAACAAAUUUCAGAGGUUAAAGCAAACUUGGAAUAAGAUUUGGAUUCGAAACUGAAUUGUGUUAGAAAAUCAGAAGAGAAUUUGAACCCAAGCUUUCCUCAGGAUGACAUUGAAGAUGAUUCAUGUGCAGCGCAUGAGCUGUCUACAAGUGAUUUGUGUUUAGUGUCUGAUCUUUAGUCUAAAGGGAAAGAAACAUAUGCUAGUGAUAGGAUUGGUAAUUUUCCGAGUCUAGGAGAACUAGCAAAUAUUGAUGAAAGUUUUCUGGCAAAGCGCUGCAAUCUUGGCUACAGAGCAGGUCGUAUAAUAAAACUUGUCCUGGCUAUUGUUGAAGGCAGGAUUCAGUUAGAACAACUUGAAGAAAUUUGCAGUAGUGAAGCAAGUUUAGCCAGCUAUGAUAAGCUGACUAAACAGUUGAGCAAGAUUGAUGGAUUUGGUCCAUUUACAUGUGCCAAUGUGCUUGUAUGCAUGGGAAUUUACCAUGUGAUUCCAUCAGAUUCCUAAACAAUCAGGCAUUUAAAGCAGGUCCAUAAAAGAAAUUGUACCAUUAAAACAGUUCAAAAUGACGUUAAAAUGAACUAUGGAAAGUAUGCACCAUUUCAGUUCUUGGCAUACUGGUCAGAAGUAUGGCACUUCUACGAGGGAAGGUUUGGGAAGCUAAGUGAAAUGCCUUACUCCAGUUACAAACUUAUAACAGCCAGUAAUAUGAGAACCUAAAAAACCAGAAAGUUAAGAGGGCUUCUAUAUAUCUUUUGAUGUGGAAACCAUUCAGGCUUCAGCUAUGGACUCCGGACUCUGCAGGCUGCAGGAUGUGCUCAAUUUCUUUGACUACCUCGCACAUAGAGCUGUUGGUUCCCAGUUCCUGUACACACAUCAUUGCCAGUGUCCAAACUGAUGGCAGGGAUCAAGAAUCUUUGAUACAUCGCAGUCAUCAACUCUCUUAACAUGUAGAUUCCGAGUUCUAUCGGAUUUCAUCAAAUGCAAAGCUAUAAUCAUCAAUGUCUAUUGUUAAUUAUCGAGUGGUGAAAUAUUUUGGAUUCGAGUAGCGCUAAUCAUCAAAUGCAAACUUUGUCAGCUUAUCAAGUUUGAUAGUUUGUCUUCUUGACAUGAUUAUAGAA
Molecule: long non-coding RNA, 1342 nt
Organism: Pistacia vera
Lineage: Eukaryota; Viridiplantae; Streptophyta; Magnoliopsida; Sapindales; Anacardiaceae
Exons: 4
Source: RefSeq, a predicted model, not a curated record